Seriola dumerili (greater amberjack) is the source of this 229-nucleotide long non-coding RNA. RefSeq lists it as uncharacterized. NCBI's taxonomy places the organism in Eukaryota, Metazoa, Chordata, Actinopteri, Carangiformes, Carangidae. The record is from RefSeq and is a predicted model, not a curated record. The transcript has 3 exons.
UGAAGCCAUCACUCUGAUCUAUGACUGUGAAGGACUGGGACUCAAACACAUCUGGAAACCGGCCAUUGAGGCGUACGGAGAGAUCCUCACCAUGUUUGAGGAGAACUAUCCAGAGGGGCUGAAGAGGGUGUUUCUGAUCAAAGCUCCCAGGAUGUUUCCUAUGGCCUACAACCUGAUCAAACACUUCCUGUGUGAGGAGACACGGCGCAAGAUCAUCGUCUUAGGAAGU